UCAAGCACCACUUCACGUGCGCCUCCUCCCAUCUCAUGUACUGCAUCUCUUGCAGCAGAUGUGGCAUGCUUUACAUUGGGGAAACUGGAAGAUGUUUGGUAAGGACAAGAUUUGGUGAGCAUCGGCGUGCAGUUAUUGGCAAUGAUGCUAACCAACCUGUUGCCAGACAUUUUAACAGUGAUGGCAAUCACAGUGUUUCAGAUAUGUUAAUUCGAGCCCUCUGUUCCAUUUCUGGAAGCAACGAUAGCCGCAAACGACAUGAAAUGCGCCUCAUAUCCAAACUUGGC
Molecule: non-coding RNA, 287 nt
Organism: Paramuricea clavata
Lineage: Eukaryota; Metazoa; Cnidaria; Anthozoa; Malacalcyonacea; Plexauridae
Source: the annotation of a GenBank genome assembly